GUCUACAGUCAUACCACUCUGAAUGCACCAAAUCUCUGAUCUUGGAAGCUAAACAUGGUUGAGCCUGAUUAGUACCUGGCAGAAAACUCUAAAAACUCCAACAAUUAGAUU
RNAcentral lists this ribosomal RNA (111 nucleotides) under Carlito syrichta (Philippine tarsier). Lineage: Eukaryota; Metazoa; Chordata; Mammalia; Primates; Tarsiidae. The record is from RNAcentral.